AUCUAGUUAAUACUUUAUGGUCU
This 23-nucleotide small nuclear RNA is filed under the name Arabidopsis thaliana (thale cress). Its description in RNAcentral is "snRNA_14238". Lineage: Eukaryota; Viridiplantae; Streptophyta; Magnoliopsida; Brassicales; Brassicaceae. The record is from RNAcentral.